Molecule: ribosomal RNA, 441 nt
Filed under: uncultured bacterium
Lineage: Bacteria
Description: partial 16S ribosomal RNA
Rfam family: Bacterial small subunit ribosomal RNA
Source: RNAcentral
CCUACGGGUGGCAGCAGUGGGGAAUAUUGCACAAUGGGGGAAACCCUGAUGCAGCGACGCCGCGUGAGUGAAGAAGUCUUUCGGUAUGUAAAGCUCUAUCAGCAGGGGAGAAGAACGCCGUUACCUGGCUAAUUCGCACCUGCUAACUACGUGACGGCAGCCGCGGUCCUACGUAGGGGGCAAGAGUUAUCCGGAUGUACUGGGUGUAAAGGGAGCGUAGACGGCUGUGCAAGCCUGAAGUGAAAUCUCAGGGCUCAACCCUGGGACUGCUUUGGAAACUGGGGAGCUAGAGUGCGGGAGAGGUAAGUGGAAUUCGUAGUGUAGCGGUGAAAUGCGUAGAUAUUAGGAGGAACACCAGUGGCGAAGGCGGCUUACUGGACAGUAACUGACGCUGAGGCUCGAAAGCGUGGGGAGCAAACAGGAUUAGAUACCCGAGUAGUC